Molecule: ribosomal RNA, 446 nt
Filed under: uncultured bacterium
Lineage: Bacteria
Description: partial 16S ribosomal RNA
Rfam family: Bacterial small subunit ribosomal RNA
Source: RNAcentral
CCUACGGGUGGCAGCAGUCGAGAAUCAUUCACAAUGGGGGAAACCCUGAUGGUGCGACGCCGCGUGGGGGAAUGAAGGUCUUCGGAUUGUAAACCCCUGUCAUGUGGGAGCAAAUUAAAAAGAUAGUACCACAAGAGGAAGAGACGGCUAACUCGGUGCCAGCAGCCGCGGUAAUACAGCGGUCUCAAGCGUUGUUCGGAAUCACUGGGCGUAAAGCGUGCGUAGGCUGUUUCGUAAGUCGUGUGUGAAAGGCGCGGGCUCAACCCGCGGACGGCACAUGAUACUGCGAGACUAGAGUAAGGGAGGGGGAAGCGGAAUGCUUGGUGUAGCAGUGAAAUGCGUAGAUAUCGAGAGGAACACUGGUGGCGAAGGCGGGUUCCGGGACACUAACUGACGCUGAGGCACGAAGGCGAGGGGAGCGAAAGGGAUUAGAUACCCGAGUAGUC